RNAcentral lists this long non-coding RNA (814 nucleotides) under Coturnix japonica (Japanese quail). RNAcentral's name for it is "lncRNA (ENSCJPG00005019199.1)". The record is from RNAcentral. Lineage: Eukaryota; Metazoa; Chordata; Aves; Galliformes; Phasianidae.
CAGAAAUGUGCAGAGAUUUUGAUUGGACUCCUUUGAUCUUGGCGCGGAGUCCCCCAGGUACAGGUUCGUUAGCUCUCAUUAGGAGAAGCAGCGUUUUCCUCUGGUGGUGCACGUCCUUGUACAGCUAAUUGAAGAACCAUCACAGGCACUUUAUUGCUUCGUUACUUUUCGCGGGUGCCUUGGAUGCCUACAAUGACCGACCAGACGGUGCAAAACUGUGCUACUGGAUGAAAUUAAGAAAAUGAAAUCAAGAACUUGGCAAGUUGCACCAGGAGGCUGGGUCUGCAUUUGCAUAUCAAAGGCAGAGCUCCUGGAUGGAAAAUGUGCACUACUGUGAAAUGUGAUAGCGCUGUGCCCUGGGGUUCUGCUUUGGAAAGUGCUGAAAUGCGCAGUGCCAUUUGUGGAGGUGUAGGAAGCAUGUGAGAGGAUAUGGCACCUGGAGACUCCUGGCCAGCUACUGCCAGAGUGGGACCUGGCGAUGCAAGCUGAAGAUGGAUUUAGAUGCUGGAAGAGCUUUAUGGAGGAGAAAAGAGAAAUAGAGAAUGAGACGUGCGCCCCUACAGACACGGUGUUCAUUCCUCAUCAGCAAGGGACGGGUCUGCCUCAGACAUGGGAGAAUCUGCUGAUUGAAACAUCUUGCGCUGCCACCAAAGGGAGAUCUCCAGUUUGCAGAGAGAGGAAGAAGGGAAAUGAAGAAACUUGUGGAGGGGAAAUGCCAUGUCAGACACGGCCACUACUUAUUGUCCUGUAUUCAAAGGCCACCGGGCAGAAGGAAGUGUGUGUGGGAAGUGGGAGAGGCAGGAAUGAAACCUGA